This 2419-nucleotide long non-coding RNA is filed under the name Homo sapiens (human). RNAcentral's name for it is "HSALNT0101751". The record is from RNAcentral. Lineage: Eukaryota; Metazoa; Chordata; Mammalia; Primates; Hominidae.
CUAAGAUGUGUUCUGUCUUUACUGAGCUGAGCAGAGCCUCUUCAUUGGAUUUCUAUCCAUUUGAAGAGAGCAAACCGUUAGAAGAGCUCAAAUAUUGAUAUUUCCUCUAUCUCUAAGUGAUUCCUUGAAAGUAUCAUUUUUCUUCCUUUCCUUUCCAUUUCCUCCUAAAAGCAUGUAAAAAAUAUGAAUGCUAAUUCGAAUACAAUUAUCCUUAUGAUGGAUCAGUUUACUGGAUGUGCCAAAUAGAUGCUUAUCAUCAGAAUGAUCUGGCAUCAGCAUAAUCAACUAUUUGUAGGAAAAACAUGAGAGAGAGGAAGACAGGUGAGCCAACACACCAGUUAGAAUGUACACGUACACUGAAUUUGGACACGCUCCAUACUCUUCUUCACUCAGGUAUCCAUCAGAGUGCUCACCUUGUCAGUGGCUGUUGCUGUAAGUAUGUGUCUUACAUCCAGCGUCUUCUCUAGGUUUCAGAUGCAAUGAGGUGUUUCCAGGCUCUGCUACUCAGUUAAGUCCCACAAUGCUGAUAGGGCUAUUGGAACAGUCAAUCAAAGUAAAAGAAAAGAGAAAAAGUGAUGGGAAUCAGAAGCAAAGAGACAUGCCCAAAGGCAAAGAGCUCUGUAGAGGUGGUGGAUUUGGACUUGUGGCACGUUAUUCAAAUAUCUUCUUCCCACGGGCCCCCCAAAUUAUUUGUACAAAAGACCUUUCGACCCAUCAAGGAGAGGUCCCUGCAAGCUUUGCUCUUCUGAAAGACAGUGCAGCAUGGUGCUUCACAGCAUGAGCUUUGGAGUUAAGCCAACUUCAGUUGUAAUCCUGGAUCCACCAUUUACUAGAGCAUGGUCUAAUAAACAGAGAAGGCUCAGGAGGGUCAGAAACACGGUGCCUCAUUUCUCAGCCUACUUGCCAAGAAUUCCCAAAAAGGAAGCACUGGAGGAUCAUUCCAAGGCUUGAGGUCCAGGACUACCCACUUCCCUUGGAAUGGUGUUGCCAUCACUGUUCUGGCACCGGAGAAAGGAUUCUACAUCGUUAGGAGAAAAGAAAAAGGAGAAUUUGGGCUUGCACUGAGAGGAUUACCUUUGGUGGUCUGGAAGUGGUGAUUGGUGAUAAUGAAACCUACCUUGCUGUUUCAUGUUGAGGAAUCACUGUGAGAAGGGGUUGCAGCAUUGAAGGCACCAUCUUGGAAGCAGAGACUAGACCCUCACCAAGCAAUUAACAUGCUGGUGCAUUGAUCUUGGACUUUCCAGCCUCCAGAACUGUGAGAAAUAAAUUUCUGUUCUUAAUUAAUUACCCAGUCCCAGGUAUUCUGUUAUAGCAGCACAAAGCUUAGACGGGCUCCUUACAUCUUGAGGCUCCAUUAUCUCCUGGGAACUGGGAGUCCUUAGGUUCUAGCCAUGGAAAGAGAAACAAAAGAUGGAGAAGGCACACAUGCUUCUUAAUGGUCGUGGUUCAGAAGUAACAAAUACUAAUUCUAUAUAUUCUACUGGCUCAACACAAAUGCAGGGGUGUGCUGGGAAUGGAGUCUCUGAUUGGGCAGCAGGGAUCAGGGAUCAAAGAUCAGGAAAUAUUCCAGGGUGAAUAUUUUACUAGGUGAGGAGGACCAUGAAUUUUGACAAACAGCCUUUGCUGCUCUACCCACUCCUCAUCAUCACUGUUAGACACAAAGAGAAAUGGCAGCACUUUUUGUCCAUUGAUUGUAACUCUUUCUUUAAAGACUUUUAAGGCAGAAUCUCAAUUCAUCUCUUCUAUGAAACUUUCAUGAUUCAAAGGGAAGUCCCUGCAUGGACACUGCCAGCUUCAUUGCACUUCUGCCUCUAUGCUUUUUCCUGAACCUUCUCCACCUCUGGAACGUACUUCAGGCUGCACAGGGAGCAUGGCUGGGAGGCCUCAGGAAACUGACAAUCAUCAGUAGAAGAUGAAGAGGAAGGAGGCGCAUCUUACAUGGCCAGAGAAGGAGGAAGAAUAAGAAGGGGAGAGUGCAGAGAGGAGGCGAGACCAAGCCUGCCCAGAGUUGGAGUCUUGAGACGUGAGAUUCUCCAGCUGGAGCCCUAUAAAUUGGACUGACAAAAGACAGAUUAGCAAGAGAAAUGCAAGCAGCAGUUUAUUAACAUGUGCAUCAUGAUUACACAUGGAAGUACCCAGAGGUCAUAAGACCUCAUGUGACAAGUGCCCUCCUUACUCCCAGAGAAAAGGAAGGAAGACACAGAAACACCACGAAGAAUAUGGACAAACAGACCUUGCUAAGUUCCCCCCCAUUUAUUACCAUGACAUCAUACUCCCUUUGUCCAAUCACACUUUCAUCAAACCUGAGCAUGAAAAUACACAGGUUUCUCUGUUUGGGGGGUGGGUCUUCAUUUUUGAAGUUUCCAUGUCAUGUAAAACUUAUAUUAAAGAAAUGUGUAUGUUUUACCCUUGUUAAUUU